RNAcentral lists this ribosomal RNA (455 nucleotides) under uncultured bacterium. Its description in RNAcentral is "bacterial SSU rRNA". It matches the Rfam family "Bacterial small subunit ribosomal RNA", at positions 8 to 463 of the family's 1533-position model. The record is from RNAcentral.
AGAGUUUGAUCCUGGCUCAGAUUGAACGCUGGCGGCAUGCUUUACACAUGCAAGUCGAACGGCAGCACGGGAGCUUGCUCCUGGUGGCGAGUGGCGAACGGGUGAGUAAUGCACCGGAACGUACCCAGUAAUGGGGGAUAACACAUCGAAAGAUGUGCUAAUACCGCAUACGCCCUGAGGGGGAAAGCGGGGGAUCGUAAGACCUCGCGUUAUUGGAGCGGCCGAUGCCGGAUUAGCUAGUUGGUGGGGUAAAGGCUCACCAAGGCGACGAUCCGUAGCUGGUCUGAGAGGACGACCAGCCACACUGGGACUGAGACACGGCCCAGACUCCUACGGGAGGCAGCAGUGGGGAAUUUUGGACAAUGGGCGAAAGCCUGAUCCUGCCAUGCCGCGUGAGUGAAGAAGGCCUUCGGGUUGUAAUUCUCUUUCGCAAGGAAAGAAAACUUACCUACUAA